GGGGUAAGCGUUAUCCGGAUUUACUGGGUGUAAAGGGAGCGUAGACGGACUUGCAAGUCUGAUGUGAAAAUCCGGGGCCCAACCCCGGAACUGCAUUGGAAACUGUAUAUCUAGAGUGUCGGAGAGGCAAGUGGAAUUCCUGGUGUAGCGGUGAAAUGCGUAGAUAUCAGGAGGAACACCAGUGGCGAAGGCGGCUUGCUGGACGAUGACUGACGCUGAGGUUCGAAAGCGUGGGUAGCAAACA
Molecule: ribosomal RNA, 244 nt
Filed under: uncultured bacterium
Lineage: Bacteria
Description: partial 16S ribosomal RNA
Rfam family: Bacterial small subunit ribosomal RNA
Source: RNAcentral